GCCUAAUACAUGCAAGUCGAACGGCAGCACGGACUUCGGUCUGGUGGCGAGUGGCGAACGGGUGAGUAAUGUAUCGGAACGUGCCUAGUAGCGGGGGAUAACUACGCGAAAGCGUAGCUAAUACCGCAUACGCCCUACGGGGGAAAGCAGGGGAUCGCAAGACCUUGCUCUAUUAGAGCGGCCGAUAUCGGAUUAGCUAGUUGGUGGGGUAACGGCUCACCAAGGCGACGAUCCGUAGCUGGUUUGAGAGGACGACCAGCCACACUGGGACUGAGACACGGCCCAGACUCCUACGGGAGGCAGCAGUGGGGAAUUUUGGACAAUGGGGGAAACCCUGAUCCAGCCAUCCCGCGUGUGCGAUGAAGGCCUUCGGGUUGUAAAGCACUUUUGGCAGGAAAGAAACGUCAUGGGCUAAUACCCCGUGAAACUGACGGUACCUGCAGAAUAAGCACCGGCUAACUACGUGCCAGCAGCCGCGGUAAUACGUAGGGUGCAAGCGUUAAUCGGAAUUACUGGGCGUAAAGCGUGCGCAGGCGGUUCGGAAAGAAAGAUGUGAAAUCCCAGAGCUUAACUUUGGAACUGCAUUUUUAACUACCGAGCUAGAGUGUGUCAGAGGGGAGGUGGAAUUCCGCGUGUAGCAGUGAAAUGCGUAGAUAUGCGGAGGAACACCGAUGGCGAAAGCAGCCUCCUGGGAUAACACUGACGCUCAUGCACGAAAGCGUGGGGAGCAAACAGAUUAGAUACCCUGGUAGUCCACGCCCUAAACGAUGUCAACUAGCUGUGGGGCUUCAGCUUG
Molecule: ribosomal RNA, 796 nt
Filed under: Betaproteobacteria bacterium
Lineage: Bacteria; Pseudomonadati; Pseudomonadota; Betaproteobacteria
Description: bacterial SSU rRNA
Rfam family: Bacterial small subunit ribosomal RNA
Source: RNAcentral